GCGCCCAUAGCUCAAUUGGAUAGAGCGUUUGGCUACGGACCAAAAGGUUUGGGGUUCGAAUCCCUAUGGGCGCACCA
Molecule: transfer RNA, 77 nt
Filed under: bacterium
Lineage: Bacteria
Also listed under: 1 other name
Description: tRNA-Arg
Rfam family: tRNA
About the family: Transfer RNA (tRNA) molecules are approximately 80 nucleotides in length. Their secondary structure includes four short double-helical elements and three loops (D, anti-codon, and T loops). Further hydrogen bonds mediate the characteristic L-shaped molecular structure. tRNAs have two regions of fundamental functional importance: the anti-codon, which is responsible for specific mRNA codon recognition, and the 3' end, to which the tRNAs corresponding amino acid is attached (by aminoacyl-tRNA synthetases). tRNAs cope with the degeneracy of the genetic code in two manners: having more than one tRNA (with a specific anti-codon) for a particular amino acid; and 'wobble' base-pairing, i.e. permitting non-standard base-pairing at the 3rd anti-codon position.
Source: RNAcentral